This is a transfer RNA of Ovis aries (sheep), 57 nucleotides long. It matches the Rfam family "tRNA", at positions 8 to 63 of the family's 71-position model. Rfam says of the family: Transfer RNA (tRNA) molecules are approximately 80 nucleotides in length. Their secondary structure includes four short double-helical elements and three loops (D, anti-codon, and T loops). Further hydrogen bonds mediate the characteristic L-shaped molecular structure. tRNAs have two regions of fundamental functional importance: the anti-codon, which is responsible for specific mRNA codon recognition, and the 3' end, to which the tRNAs corresponding amino acid is attached (by aminoacyl-tRNA synthetases). tRNAs cope with the degeneracy of the genetic code in two manners: having more than one tRNA (with a specific anti-codon) for a particular amino acid; and 'wobble' base-pairing, i.e. permitting non-standard base-pairing at the 3rd anti-codon position. The record is from Rfam. Lineage: Eukaryota; Metazoa; Chordata; Mammalia; Artiodactyla; Bovidae.
UGGCUCAGAUGGUAAAGCAUUUGCCUGCAAUGCAGGAGACCCAGGUUCAAUCCCUGG